GAGGAGCUCGACCAAGUGAUUGGCUACGAGCGUGUGAUGAACGAAACAGACUUCCCCAACCUCCCAUACCUGCAAUGCGUGGCUAAGGAAGCUCUAAGGCUUCACCCUCCAACUCCUCUUAUGCUGCCACACAGAGCCAACGCCAACGUCAAGAUUGCUGGUUAUGACAUUCCAAAGGGCUCCAACGUGCAUGUGAAUGUCUGGGCAGUAGCUCGUGACCCCAAGGUGUGGAAAAACCCGUUGGAGUUCAGACCGGAGAGGUUCCUUGAGGAAGAUGUGGACAUGAAGGGGCAUG
RNAcentral lists this long non-coding RNA (295 nucleotides) under Capsicum annuum. RNAcentral's name for it is "long non-coding RNA (CANN_LNC012990)". The record is from RNAcentral. Lineage: Eukaryota; Viridiplantae; Streptophyta; Magnoliopsida; Solanales; Solanaceae.